Molecule: long non-coding RNA, 1362 nt
Filed under: Pongo abelii (Sumatran orangutan)
Lineage: Eukaryota; Metazoa; Chordata; Mammalia; Primates; Hominidae
Description: lincRNA
Source: RNAcentral
AAGAUGUUGUACUUCACAGUAAGGGCUAGUUUCUAAACAUGAAAGAACACAUAGCUUAUGUAACAUGACAUUUGUUGGAGAAUAUGCCCUAGAAAAUCAUGAUAUCACAGAUAUAUACUAAAUAUCUGAAGGAGAUUAAGGAGAAAACAUUUCCAGCAGAGGAGUUCUUUAAUAUAGACAGAGCUUGUUUCAGAAUUGGUAUCUUCCUGAAUAUUUGGCUGCUUGGAAAAUGUUACGUUGGUGCUGGGAUUCAGCCCUUGCCUGGACAGAGGUGGCCACUAGAGUCGUUAGCAUGGACAUUGGCACCAGUGGCUACAUAGGUCCCAGGAUCGUAGCCAGCGAACUGGGGUGCCUCUAGAGACCACUUGAGAGGUGCAGAGACUGUGGGCCAGCCCCUCAUUCUUGUCUGAGACAGUGAUGCCCUCCCUACUCACUAAUUAUGCACAGCUAGCAGAGCUCUGAAAUGAAUGGCUUCAUUUAAUCACAAAAGAAGGAAUACCAGCAAGACCACCCAGGCCCCAGCUCCGGUUUUUCCUGAAGAAUUUGGCCGCAUCUCCCUUUUUGAAGGCAGAGUUUCAUCUUGCCUCAGGGAGAAGCAACUUCCUGGGCAUGCGUGUUAAGAGACAAAAAAAUGACGUUUGAUGACCACUCCACCAGAAAAGGGAAGAAAGCCUGAGGGGCCCGCCUGGACCUCCCUCAACACACUGCGCAUGCUCCAUUCCAAAGGGUAAGGCGAGCACUGCGCAUGCGGGAAACCAACCGUGUAAAGGAAGAAUCCUGGGAAAGAGGCAAGCCUAUGAAGUCCCAGGAUCAAGGUUAAAUACCUUCUUUUUUACUGUCUUCUUGUGCUCUCUUUUCUCUCUUGGACCUUCAGGCGCCUGCUUGGGUCUCUUUCAAGAGAAUUUUCCUUUCUUUCCUGUUCUAAAGGCUUUUAACUAAACUUCCACUCCUGUUCUGAAACUUGCUCUGUCUCUUUUUCUGCCUUACGCCCCUCAGUCGAAUUCUUUCUUCUGAGGAGGCAAGGACUGAAGUUGCUGUGGACCCAUAGGGAUUCGCCGUUGGUAACUCGGGGUAACUCGGGUCUCUUCCACUGCUGACAUAUGUAGCAAGUCCCGUCUUCGGGUUGGCAGGCACCACAUGCGCAGAGAGAGGGGAAAGACCAAGAAGUGACUCAUGACAUCACCCUCGUCUCUGGAAGACAAGAUGUUGGUCUCGUCAGAUGCCCUGCAGUCUUCAGUGUUGGCUGCAGCCAGAGCCCCUGCAAUGCAGACCAGGAUGAGGGAAAGCCGCUGGAAGAGGCCUACAGCAUUUUUUAUUAGUAAAUCCAGAGAACGUGUUAUAUAAAGUGUAAGACAAUCACCA